Molecule: ribosomal RNA, 526 nt
Filed under: Nakazawaea ernobii
Lineage: Eukaryota; Fungi; Ascomycota; Pichiomycetes; Alaninales; Pachysolenaceae
Description: eukaryotic LSU rRNA
Rfam family: Eukaryotic large subunit ribosomal RNA
Source: RNAcentral
UAGCUCAGAUUUGACAAUCUAGCACUUUCAGUGUUCGAGUUGUAAUUUGAAGAAGGUAUCUUUGGAGUUGGCCCCCGUCUAUGUUCCUUGGAACAGGACGUCACAGAGGGUGAGAAUCCCGUGCGAUGGGGAGACCAAUUCUAUGUAAAGUUCCUUCGAAGAGUCGAGUUGUUUGGGAAUGCAGCUCUAAGUGGGUGGUAAAUUCCAUCUAAAGCUAAAUAUUGGCGAGAGACCGAUAGCGAACAAGUACAGUGAUGGAAAGAUGAAAAGAACUUUGAAAAGAGAGUGAAAAAGUACGUGAAAUUGUUGAAAGGGAAGGGCUUUUGAUCAGACUUGGUGUUUAGUACUCUCUACUCCUUGUGGGUGGGGCUCUUGCUUUAUACUGGGCCAGCAUCGGUUUGGAUGGUAGGAUAAUAGCAUUGGAAUGUGGCUUCAUUCGUGAAGUGUUAUAGCCCUUGUUGAUACUACCUAUCUAGACCGAGGACUGCGUCUUUUGACUAGGAUGCUGGCGUAAUGAUUAAAAGCC